CAUUUCUAAACAAUCAUAUCCAGUGUUGACUAAGCCAAGCCUUCCUCCACACUCACCAAGUGCUUUUGAACAGACCAAAACAUUUGAAAACCUCAGUUCUGAUGCACGAGUAUAUGAAUCAGCAAGUAUUAAUAGUCCCAGUGUUACAAUACAUGAGGAUAAUUCAGUUUCUUAUUCUUCUACUGCUGGAUCUGAUCGUCCUCUAUUACCUGAACGUGCUCCUAUGACCUCAUACCAAACUACAGCUGCAGAGGAAGGAAAGGUUAAUAAGCCUCAUGAAGUUAGAGCUGAUAGCGAACCUUUUGAAAUUGUACAUAUAUAAUGGGGACUGCACGGAAAGGUAGAAUCAUUCAAUAGAAAUUUGAGGCUCCAUCAUUUAGAUAUUAAAUUAUUUAUAUACAUAUAUAUUAAAUCACAGGUUAAACAAGCAGCAAUUAUAAUUUUGUAUGGACUGGAUCUGUAAAAUUAUAUUAUCAUUUUACUUUUGUGUGCUAAAUUUUUGUAUUUCCUUUUUUUUCAAAAAGUGACGUAUUAUUUCAGACGUCAAUCAGAA
Molecule: long non-coding RNA, 553 nt
Organism: Amphimedon queenslandica
Lineage: Eukaryota; Metazoa; Porifera; Demospongiae; Haplosclerida; Niphatidae
Exons: 2
Source: RefSeq, a predicted model, not a curated record